RNAcentral lists this ribosomal RNA (460 nucleotides) under uncultured bacterium. RNAcentral's name for it is "partial 16S ribosomal RNA". It matches the Rfam family "Bacterial small subunit ribosomal RNA", at positions 338 to 795 of the family's 1533-position model. The record is from RNAcentral.
CCUACGGGAGGCAGCAGUGAGGAAUAUUGGUCAAUGGACGAGAGUCUGAACCAGCCAAGUAGCGUGAAGGAUGACUGCCCUAUGGGUUGUAAACUUCUUUUAUAUGGGAAUAAAAUGUUCCACGUGUGGGAUUUUGUAUGUACCAUAUGAAUAAGGAUCGGCUAACUCCGUGCCAGCAGCCGCGGUAAUACGGAGGAUCCGAGCGUUAUCCGGAUUUCUUGGGUUUAAAGGGAGCGUAGGUGGAUUGUUAAGUCAGUUGUGAAAGUUUGCGGCUCAACCGUAAAAUUGCAGUUGAAACUGGCAGUCUUGAGUACAGUAGAGGUGGGCGGAAUUCGUGGUGUAGCGGUGAAAUGCUUAGAUAGCACGAAGAACUCCGAUUGCGAAGGCAGCUCACUGGACUGCAACUGACACUGAGGCUCGAAAGUGUGGGUAUCAAACAGGAUUAGAUACCCCAGUAGUC